RNAcentral lists this microRNA (23 nucleotides) under Macaca mulatta (Rhesus monkey). RNAcentral's name for it is "mml-miR-7188-3p". The record is from miRBase by way of RNAcentral. Lineage: Eukaryota; Metazoa; Chordata; Mammalia; Primates; Cercopithecidae.
CUUGCUCUGCGUGGCAUCUGUCA